RNAcentral lists this transfer RNA (74 nucleotides) under Anaerolineae bacterium. RNAcentral's name for it is "tRNA-Lys". It matches the Rfam family "tRNA". From Rfam's summary of the family: Transfer RNA (tRNA) molecules are approximately 80 nucleotides in length. Their secondary structure includes four short double-helical elements and three loops (D, anti-codon, and T loops). Further hydrogen bonds mediate the characteristic L-shaped molecular structure. tRNAs have two regions of fundamental functional importance: the anti-codon, which is responsible for specific mRNA codon recognition, and the 3' end, to which the tRNAs corresponding amino acid is attached (by aminoacyl-tRNA synthetases). tRNAs cope with the degeneracy of the genetic code in two manners: having more than one tRNA (with a specific anti-codon) for a particular amino acid; and 'wobble' base-pairing, i.e. permitting non-standard base-pairing at the 3rd anti-codon position. Lineage: Bacteria; Bacillati; Chloroflexota; Anaerolineae. The record is from RNAcentral.
GGGCCGUUAGCUCAAUUUGGCAGAGCAGGUGACUCUUAAUCACUCGGUUGCAGGUUCGAGUCCUGCACGGCUCA